AAAGAUUGUUAAAGUAAUGUAAUUUAGUUUAGAUAGAAUAUUUAUUUUUGGUGUAAAAGGGCUUAAUUACAA
RNAcentral lists this transfer RNA (72 nucleotides) under Poteriostomum imparidentatum. RNAcentral describes it as "tRNA-Gln". The record is from RNAcentral. Lineage: Eukaryota; Metazoa; Nematoda; Chromadorea; Rhabditida; Strongylidae.